GUCCCCAUCGUCUAGGCUGGCCUAGGACACUAGAUUUUCAUUCUAGCAACAGGGGUUCGAAUCCCCUUGGGGACGCCA
Molecule: transfer RNA, 78 nt
Filed under: Candidatus Omnitrophica bacterium ADurb.Bin277
Lineage: Bacteria; Pseudomonadati; Candidatus Omnitrophota
Description: tRNA-Glu
Rfam family: tRNA
About the family: Transfer RNA (tRNA) molecules are approximately 80 nucleotides in length. Their secondary structure includes four short double-helical elements and three loops (D, anti-codon, and T loops). Further hydrogen bonds mediate the characteristic L-shaped molecular structure. tRNAs have two regions of fundamental functional importance: the anti-codon, which is responsible for specific mRNA codon recognition, and the 3' end, to which the tRNAs corresponding amino acid is attached (by aminoacyl-tRNA synthetases). tRNAs cope with the degeneracy of the genetic code in two manners: having more than one tRNA (with a specific anti-codon) for a particular amino acid; and 'wobble' base-pairing, i.e. permitting non-standard base-pairing at the 3rd anti-codon position.
Source: RNAcentral